The sequence is a ribosomal RNA, 437 nucleotides long. It matches the Rfam family "Bacterial small subunit ribosomal RNA", at positions 341 to 792 of the family's 1533-position model.
ACGGAAGGCAGCAGUGGGGAAUAUUGGGCAAUGGGCGAAAGCCUGACCCAGCAACGCCGCGUGAAGGAAGAAGGUCUUCGGAUUGUAAACUUCUUUUAUGAGGGACGAAGGACGUGACGGUACCUCAUGAAUAAGCCACGGCUAACUACGUGCCAGCAGCCGCGGUAAUACGUAGGUGGCAAGCGUUAUCCGGAUUUACUGGGUGUAAAGGGCGCGUAGGCGGGGAUGCAAGUCAGAUGUGAAAUCCAUGGGCUUAACUCAUGAACUGCAUUUGAAACUGUUUUUCUUGAGUGCUGGAGAGGUAGACGGAAUUCCUUGUGUAGCGGUGAAAUGCGUAGAUAUAAGGAAGAACACCAGUGGCGAAGGCGGUCUACUGGACAGUAACUGACGCUGAGGCGCGAAAGCUAGGGGAGCGAACAGGAUUAGAUACCCUGGUA